This 301-nucleotide ribosomal RNA is filed under the name uncultured bacterium. Its description in RNAcentral is "partial 16S ribosomal RNA". It matches the Rfam family "Bacterial small subunit ribosomal RNA", at positions 509 to 807 of the family's 1533-position model. The record is from RNAcentral.
CAGCCGCCGCGGUAAUACGUAGGUGGCAAGCGUUAUCCGGAUUUACUGGGUGUAAAGGGAGCGUAGACGGAAUGGCAAGUCUGAAGUGAAAUGCCCGGGCUCAACCCGGGAACUGCUUUGGAAACUGUCGAUCUGGAGUGUUGGAGAGGUAAGUGGAAUUCCUGGUGUAGCGGUGAAAUGCGUAGAGAUCAGGAAGAACACCGGAGGCGAAGGCGGCUUACUGGACAAAGACUGACGUUGAGGCUCGAAAGCGUGGGAAGCAAACAGGAUUAGAUACCCCAGUAGUCCCUGUCUCUUAUAC